RNAcentral lists this ribosomal RNA (1171 nucleotides) under uncultured Bacteroides sp. Its description in RNAcentral is "bacterial SSU rRNA". It matches the Rfam family "Bacterial small subunit ribosomal RNA", at positions 10 to 1176 of the family's 1533-position model. Lineage: Bacteria; Pseudomonadati; Bacteroidota; Bacteroidia; Bacteroidales; Bacteroidaceae. The record is from RNAcentral.
AGUUUGAUCCUGGCUCAGGAUGAACGCUAGCUACAGGCUUAACACAUGCAAGUCGAGGGGCAGCAUGGUCUUAGCUUGCUAAGGCCGAUGGCGACCGGCGCACGGGUGAGUAACACGUAUCCAACCUGCCGUCUACUCUUGGACAGCCUUCUGAAAGGAAGAUUAAUACAAGAUGGCAUCAUGAGUCCGCAUGUUCACAUGAUUAAAGGUAUUCCGGUAGACGAUGGGGAUGCGUUCCAUUAGAUAGUAGGCGGGGUAACGGCCCACCUAGUCUUCGAUGGAUAGGGGUUCUGAGAGGAAGGUCCCCCACAUUGGAACUGAGACACGGUCCAAACUCCUACGGGAGGCAGCAGUGAGGAAUAUUGGUCAAUGGGCGAGAGCCUGAACCAGCCAAGUAGCGUGAAGGAUGACUGCCCUAUGGGUUGUAAACUUCUUUUAUAAAGGAAUAAAGUCGGGUAUGGAUACCCGUUUGCAUGUACUUUAUGAAUAAGGAUCGGCUAACUCCGUGCCAGCAGCCGCGGUAAUACGGAGGAUCCGAGCGUUAUCCGGAUUUAUUGGGUUUAAAGGGAGCGUAGAUGGAUGUUUAAGUCAGUUGUGAAAGUUUGCGGCUCAACCGUAAAAUUGCAGUUGAUACUGGAUAUCUUGAGUGCAGUUGAGGCAGGCGGAAUUCGUGGUGUAGCGGUGAAAUGCUUAGAUAUCACGAAGAACUCCGAUUGCGAAGGCAGCCUGCUAAGCUGCAACUGACAUUGAGGCUCGAAAGUGUGGGUAUCAAACAGGAUUAGAUACCCUGGUAGUCCACACGGUAAACGAUGAAUACUCGCUGUUUGCGAUAUACUGCAAGCGGCCAAGCGAAAGCGUUAAGUAUUCCACCUGGGGAGUACGCCGGCAACGGUGAAACUCAAAGGAAUUGACGGGGGCCCGCACAAGCGGAGGAACAUGUGGUUUAAUUCGAUGAUACGCGAGGAACCUUACCCGGGCUUAAAUUGCAGAUGAAUUACGGUGAAAGCCGUAAGCCGCAAGGCAUCUGUGAAGGUGCUGCAUGGUUGUCGUCAGCUCGUGCCGUGAGGUGUCGGCUUAAGUGCCAUAACGAGCGCAACCCUUGUUGUCAGUUACUAACAGGUUCCGCUGAGGACUCUGACAAGACUGCCAUCGUAAGAUGUGAGGAAGGUGG